This 170-nucleotide microRNA precursor is filed under the name Capsella rubella. Its description in RNAcentral is "mir-393 microRNA precursor family". It matches the Rfam family "mir-393 microRNA precursor family". The record is from Rfam by way of RNAcentral. Lineage: Eukaryota; Viridiplantae; Streptophyta; Magnoliopsida; Brassicales; Brassicaceae.
AGAGAAAGGAUCCAAAGGGAUCGCAUUGAUCCUGAUUAAGCUGAUUUAUUCCUUAACAAUUGUUCUUUUGUUCUUCUUCUUUGUCAUUGAAAGAUGGGGAAAAGAAACAAAACCCCCCAAAGUUUUUGGUUUCUUUUUCCGGAUCAUGCGAUCUCUUUGGAUUCAUCCUU